UUUGAUGGCGACCGGCGCACGGUGAGUAACACGUAUCCAACCUGCCGAUAACUCGGGGAUAGCCUUUCGAAAGAAAGAUUAAUACCCGAUGGCAUAAUAGAACCGCAUGGUUGAUUAUUAAAGAAUUUCGGUUAUCGAUGGGGAUGCGUUCCAUUAGGCAGUUGGUGGGGUAACGGCCCACCAAACCUUCGAUGGAUAGGGGUUCUGAGAGGAAGGUCCCCCACAUUGGAACUGAGACACGGUCCAAACUCCUACGGGAGGCAGCAUG
This 268-nucleotide ribosomal RNA is filed under the name uncultured bacterium. RNAcentral describes it as "partial 16S ribosomal RNA". It matches the Rfam family "Bacterial small subunit ribosomal RNA", at positions 84 to 353 of the family's 1533-position model. The record is from RNAcentral.